UCUAGUAACAAUCUAAAGUGUCACCUGCCCAAUGAUUUUCAAUCAAAAAAAGAUAAUUUCUUUUGAAAAAAAUUAAAAGGACGCAGUAACAUGACUGUGAUAAUGUAGCAUAAUCAUUCGCCAUUUAAUUGAUGGAUAGUAUGAAAGGUAAAACAAAUACCUCACUGUCUCAAGGUGAGAACUCAUGAAAUUGAAAUAAUAGUUAAGAUGCUAUUUAAAAUUGUAAGACGAAAAGACCCUAUAGAGCUUAACUACACUUUUAUCGAAAAUAAAAUUAGGUAGUUUAGUUGGGGCGACUAUCUUCUAAAAAAAACGAAGAUGAACAAAAACAAUAGAAGUUUUAUUGUAUAAUAAAUAAAUUUAACAAUUACUAAAGUAGGUUAUAAUGACCCGUUACAGUAAGAAGAAAAACGUAACGAUUAACAAAUAAAAGCUACCUUAGGGAUAACAGGAUAAUUUUGUUCUAGAGACCUUAUCGAAAACUAAGUUUGUCACCUCUAUGUUGAAUUAAGAUAACCUAAUAACGCAGAAUUUAUUAAGGGUAGGUCUGUUCGACCUUUAAAAU
Molecule: ribosomal RNA, 565 nt
Filed under: Stylaster sanguineus
Lineage: Eukaryota; Metazoa; Cnidaria; Hydrozoa; Anthoathecata; Stylasteridae
Description: partial 16S large subunit ribosomal RNA
Rfam family: Bacterial large subunit ribosomal RNA
Source: RNAcentral